Long non-coding RNA from Juglans regia (Persian walnut), 862 nucleotides. RefSeq lists it as uncharacterized. The transcript is spliced from 7 exons. NCBI's taxonomy places the organism in Eukaryota, Viridiplantae, Streptophyta, Magnoliopsida, Fagales, Juglandaceae. The record is from RefSeq and is a predicted model, not a curated record.
GGACAUUCCAUCGGUGGCUGUAGUGCCACUCGGAGCGAAAAUCCUGGCGCACGAAUCACUCCCAUCCUGAGACCGGUCCAGAGAUGGGUCCGUGAAUUUUUUUUUUUUGACAAGGGUCCGUGAAUAUGAUGGUCUGGCAGUGCAUCUUCCCUGGCAAGGCUGGGUGUUUGAAGACACAAUGACAACAACUGCAAUUUUGCCCUACCUUGCCUGUUUUCCGACUGAUUGGGAGGGUGGCUAUUUUCCACAUACAAUUAUUUUUCAGUGAGGACUAUCCAAGUAAACCGCCCAAACUGCAAGUUUCCACAGAGUUUCUUCCGUCCAAAUGUCUACCCCUCUGGAACCGUUUGUUUGUCAAUUCUCAAUGAGGACAGUAUAAGGGGUGGAGACCUGCCAUUACUAUAAAGCAAAUUCUAGUGGGCAUUCAGGAUUUGCUGGGGAAACCCAACCCUGCCGAUCCAGCACAAACUGAUGGCUACCAGGUCUUCAUCCAGGAACCAUCUGAGUACAGAAGAAGGUUGCAUGAGCAGCAGGCCAAGAAGUAUGCACCCUCCUGUCUAGCAUUAUUGGUACUAGUAUUUUCGUAUCCCAUUGAUGAGACGACCGGACGUCGUCGAGUGCAAUUAAAACUUUGAAUUUAUAGAUCUAAGCAAACGAGCACUAGAUACACGCGGUUUUAAGAAUGUCAUUGUUGAGUGCAGCACGCCUAGCUCUAGUGUUUCAAGUUACUCGAUCAACUUGUGAUUAUAGAAGAUCAGGAUCAACGUGUGGGUGAGCAUGCAAGUACGUGCAUGCAUGGCUUGGCUGGUGGAGGUGUGUGGCAUGAUUGACAAAGGCUUUGAUUAACUAAUUAAUAGAAAUA